AAAUAAGAAGCAAAAUAUGCGUUUAGUUUCGACCUAAAAAUUUGAUGACAACAUCCUUAUUU
RNAcentral lists this transfer RNA (62 nucleotides) under Trogoderma granarium. RNAcentral's name for it is "tRNA-Arg". The record is from RNAcentral. Lineage: Eukaryota; Metazoa; Arthropoda; Insecta; Coleoptera; Dermestidae.